This is a non-coding RNA of Arabidopsis thaliana (thale cress), 185 nucleotides long. RefSeq annotates it as microRNA ath-MIR844 precursor. The transcript has a single exon. NCBI's taxonomy places the organism in Eukaryota, Viridiplantae, Streptophyta, Magnoliopsida, Brassicales, Brassicaceae. The record is from RefSeq.
GGAAGGAGAUGUUUGCAGUUGGUUUAAUGAAUCUUUUACAUUGAAGAGAAGGAAUGGUAAGAUUGCUUAUAAGCUGGAUCUUGAGGGUGAGUGGUCUCUUCUACGCAUUGGGCUUAUAAGCCAUCUUACUAGUUCUUCUUUUCAAUGUUGUCUAAGGACGCUGCUUUUAUCAGGUGAUCAUUUGU